AUUGAACGCUGGCGGCAUGCCUUACACAUGCAAGUCGAACGGCAGCACGGGUGCUUGCACCUGGUGGCGAGUGGCGAACGGGUGAGUAAUAUAUCGGAACGUACCUUAUCGUGGGGGAUAACGCAGCGAAAGCUGCGCUAAUACCGCAUACGCCCUGAGGGGGAAAGCGGGGGACCGUAAGGCCUCGCGCGAUUAGAGCGGCCGAUAUCUGAUUAGCUUGUUGGUGGGUAAAAGCCACCAAGGCGACGAUCAGUAGCUGGUCUGAGAGGACGAUCAGCCACACUGGGACUGAGACACGGCCCAGACUCCUACGGGAGGCAGCAGUGGGGAAUUUUGGACAAAUGGGGGGCAACCCUGAUCCAGCAAUGCCGCGUGAGUGAAGAAGGCCUCGGUUGUAAGACUCUUUGUCUAGGAAGGAAAACAAGGACAGACUCUAAC
RNAcentral lists this ribosomal RNA (438 nucleotides) under uncultured bacterium. RNAcentral's name for it is "bacterial SSU rRNA". It matches the Rfam family "Bacterial small subunit ribosomal RNA", at positions 30 to 472 of the family's 1533-position model. The record is from RNAcentral.